CUCCAGAAUGACAGGUCCUCCAGAAGACCUGUGUCUACCAAAAUCCUACAUGGUUGAUCAAUUACUUCAUUAAAAAAUUAUCGCCUUCAGGCCGGGCGCAGUGGCUCACGCCUGUAAUCCCAGCACUUUGGGAGGCCGAGGUGGGUGGAUCACAAGGUCAGGAGAUCGAGACCAUCCUGGCUAACACGGUGAAACCCUGUCUCUACUAAAAAUACAAAAAUUAGCCGGGCGUGGUGGUGGGCAUCUGUAAUCUCAGCUACUCAGGAGGCUGAGGCAGGAGAAUCGCUUGAACCUGGGAGGUGGAGGUUGCAGUGAGCCGAGGUCGCGCCAUUGCACUCCAGC
This 342-nucleotide long non-coding RNA is filed under the name Homo sapiens (human). RNAcentral describes it as "HSALNT0329938". Lineage: Eukaryota; Metazoa; Chordata; Mammalia; Primates; Hominidae. The record is from RNAcentral.